GCCCCGGGGGCCCCCCCACCGGCCGGGCCACCUGCGUCACGCCCAUGCGGCCGCGCCCGCCCGAGCCGGGAAGCGGGGAGGGCGCCUCCGCCUGGGGAAGGGCGCGUCCGGGCCGUCGCGGGGCCGUCUGUGGGCUGAGCCGCCGCGCGGGGGAUGCAGCUGAGCUGAGAGCCUGCGCCCGCGGACCCGACAGCCCGCGAUCCCUGAGAUCCCGGACCUUCCCCGGCGGUGAGCGGAGUGGGACGUGCGGCCGGCAGGAUGACCAACCCGGCGGCCACGCAGAACAAGGAAAUAGACUGCCUGAGCCCAGAAGCUCAGAAGCUGGCGGAGGCCAGGCUGGCAGCGAAGCGUGCGGCCCGCGCAGAGGCCCGAGAGAUCAGGAUGAAGGAGCUGGAGCGGCAGCAGAAGGAGAUCUAUCAGGUCCAAAAGAAAUAUUAUGGGCUGUAUACGAAAUGGGGUGACAUCGAGCAGUGGAUGGAAGACAGUGAGCGCUGCUCGCGCAGAUCCAGAAGGAACACCUCGGCUUCUGAUGAAGAUGAGCGCAUGUCAGUGGGUAGUCGCGGAAGCCUGAGGUCGCAGCCUGACCUGGAGUCUGGGGGUCCCUACGGCUGGACAAAUGGUUACGAUGGAGAGUUAUACGGAUCGCAGCCCUCGAGCAGAAGAUCUGGCAGGAACUCCACCUACAGCGGUGAUGGCAGAUCCUCUACCGUGUCCUCAUCCAGAGAGGAGAAGUUGGGGCCGUCCUGCCCUGACCUUGGCCUGGCCCGCAGCGGCCUCGCACCCCAAGUCCUGUUCGCCCAGAGUGGAAGCCGGCCCUCCAGUCUGCACAGCGCUGUCCGGCCAGCGGGGAGUUACCGGGGGUCUGUGUUCGGUGACAGCAGUCUCGGUGGGGCCCAGCGGGGAAGCGCCUCUGGUUCCUGUGCUCCCUCGGAGCACAGCGGCCACCUCAACUCCAGCUCCCGCGCCUCCUCCAGAGCCAGCUCGGCGCGGGCCAGCCCAGUGGUUGAAGAGAGACCAGAAAAAGAUUUCACCGAGAAGGGGUCUCGCAGCCUGGCCGGCCUGUCUGCAGCCACACUGGCCUCGCUGGGCGGCACCUCCUCCCGGAGGGGGAGCGGGGACACCUCCAUCUCCAUCGACACGGAGGCGUCCAUUAGGGAGAUCAAGGAGCUCAGUGAGUUAAAGGACCAGAUUCAGGAUGUGGAAGGCAAAUAUAUGCAGGGGCUGAAAGAGAUGAAGGACUCGCUGGCGGAAGUGGAAGAGAAGUAUAAGAAGGCGAUGGUUUCCAACGCCCAGCUGGACAACGAGAAGAUGAACUACAUGUACCAGGUCGAUACCCUGAAGGACACGCUCCUGGAGCUGGAGGAACAGCUGGCGGAGUCUCGGCGGCAGUAUGAGGAGAAAAGCAAAGAGUUCGAGCGGGAGAAGCACACGCACAGCCUGCUGCAGUUCCAGUUCGCCCAGGUGAAAGCCGCGCUGCAGCAGAGGGAGGAGAUGCUCGAGGAAAUCCGACAGCUGCAGCAGAAACAGGCGAGUUAUAUCAGGGAGAUUUCUGAUCUUCAGGAGACGAUAGAGUGGAAAGACAAAAAGAUAGGGGCCUUAGAGAGGCAGAAAGAGUUCUUUGAUUCCAUCAGGAGUGAACGAGAUGACCUUAGAGAAGAAGUAGUCGUGCUGAAAGAGGAGCUAAAGAAACAUGGAAUAAUCCUAAAUUCAGAAACGGCUACCAAUGGAGAGACUUCAGACACCCUAAAUAGCGUUGGAUAUCCAGGUCCUACCAAGAUGACAAAAGAAGAGCUGAAUGCCCUCAAGGCGACGGGGGACGGGACCCUCGGAAAAGCCACUGCAGUGGAGGUGAAAAAUGAAAUUGUGGAGAAGGUGGGGAAAAGAGAAAUCUUGCAAAAUACUGAGCAGGAACAGCACAAAGAGGAGCCCGUACAGGAUUGUGUGGACACUGAGGUCUUGCCUCCUGGUGACACUGCCGAGAAACGGAAAGCCUCUGAAGAUAGUGCCCCCUCCCGAGGAACAUUAGCUACAAAUGAGGGGCAGGUUCAAAGCCCAGGGCUAGAGAGCACAUCCUUCCUUGAACAUGCAGAGCAGGUUGAGUCCAGGGAGCUCACAAGCACCCCAGAUGCUAAGAGCUCAAGUGAACCAGAUGGUGAAACCCUGGGUCCUGUGAUUGGGCAGGGCAGCCGGAAUGCCUUGGAUAUCAAAAACCAAAGCGAAGAAGCUGCAGAAAAACAGGAACAAGAAGAGCAAGCUUUUCAGACCAGUUUGGGAGAGGUUAGCACAAAACCACACCAGGAACCUGCUCCUGUGCAAAUACCUGAAGUUGAAAAGGAGAGCAGCUUCCAGGGUGCGGUGGAGGCAGGGCUAGCUGGGUUGGAGGAGCAAGCGGGCACAGUGGCCUCACGUCCUCCAAGGUAUAGCAAUGACACAGUGAAUCAUGUCACAUGUGCGGUCGAUGUCCCCAAGGAGUUGGGCCCAAGGUCAGAGAAAGAGCUCACCAACCAGGAAGGGGCUGAGCCCAGGGAGGUCCCAGUUCCAAGCACGGGAGCAGCGGGGGAGCACAGUGAGGAAGAGGACGAGGGGAGAGGGUUCCUGAGUGAGAAACCAGUCCAGACAGAAGUCCCGGCCAGUCCCUCUUCUCCAGAAGCCAGUGCUCAGGAGGCAGCAGGUACACAUACAGUAAAGGCCAAGAGAGAACCCAGUGAAGAAAAGAACGACCCACAGGGGGAGGGGUUGGAUUCAUCCCCAAAGAAGACAAAAAACAAGAAAAGGAAAAACAAGAAGAAAAAGUCCCCGGCACCUGUAGAGACCCCUCAGGAUGUUAAGGAAGAGUUAACCUUUCAGAACCCAGAUCUAAGUGAAGUUAAGGAAGAAAAGCAGGUAAACUCUCCUGAUGAAAAAUCAGGUGUGGACACACAAAAUGAGGUCACUGGAAAUCACAAACAGAACACUGUGGCCGGAAGCAGUGAAAGCCCGGGCUUUCCAGAAGACCCUAAGAUGGAGUUGGUUGGAAAACUGAACCACGAAGAUGGUGAUGUCAACACCGAGGUGGGGAAAGGAAGAGCUGAUGGAGAACCAUUACUGUUGGAAGGCGAUACCAUUCAGGCCUCAGGCUCCAGAGCCAGUGCUGAGGCGUCAGAGGAAGGAGCUGCAAAAACUAACACUGAAGGAGCUGGAGCUGCUCCCAGCCGUCCCCCAGAGAAUGAAGAGGUGCCUGGCAGUGCCCGGCUCGGAAGUGAAAGUCCCUCUGAGGACAUUAACGCUGCCUCUCAAACAGAAGGCACAGAGGGCUGUGUGGUGUCCGAGUGUCCAAGCCAGAGCGUCAGGAAGGUUUUAGGUAGCAUUAGUCUAGAAAACGAUGACUCGGCACCAACAGGAGAGUCAGGGGACUCCCAUUCAGAGUGCAAAGAAGAGACGAGGGGCAGAAGCGAGAAGGACAAAAGCAAAGAAGACUGCGCGUUGUCAUAGGCUGAGGCUUGCUUGACAGGCGGAGUCAGAGAGGGGCCAGGACACCACAGUGAGUCCAAGCAACAGACUCUUGUCCGUUAGCUCUGCUGGUGAGAUGUUCUAGAUGGAGGUAGACAUGUAUGACAAUCAGCCACCGUGUUAUCUACUACUCUAAGUUAUAGACUGUUACUUGUAGAUUUAUAUUUUAUUAGGGUUAUCACCCAGAUUAGAAAGAAAGACACAUUCGUUAUCAUGUUAAGUUUUAACUGAGAGCAUUCCAGUACUAUCAAACAAUAACAUACACUGUUUAUAUUUCUGCCUAUAAUCAAAAUAAACACAGUUCAUGCCUGCCUUAGGCUGAUAUGAAUGUGGAUAUUCUUGACCAAAUAUAUCAGCAUCUAAUUAAAAUGACCACAUAGCAUUCUAGGAUUCCUACAUCAUGAGUAAAUUAACUUGUCUCAUUCAAAUAUACGUGCUUUCAUAUUUGCUUUUGAUAUGUACAUGAUAACCUGCAUGGUAUUUUAUUUAAAAAGGAGAUCAAUGGCCAAACAUCACACAGGUCCCUGAGUGAUGAGAUUUGCGCCUUAGGACAAUAGCUCAUCACUUUAGGGAUAAUGAACCUCUUCAAGUCCUGGGAGUUGUUAUUUGCCUUUACCUCAUCUAAGGAUUUUAUCUCAGCUAAUGCUGUGGAGUUCACUGUUCAUGAUACCUGAGCUUAUUUUAUAGAUUUUUUCUCUUUUUUUUUUAAUUUAAUACAUUUUAAUUAAAGAAAUUAAGUGGGUGGGAAGGAUGGAGUGGGGGGGGGGAGAGAGAAACAUCGAUGUGAAAGAGACACAUCAAUGGUUGCCUCCCACACGCACCCCAGCCAGGGCAGGGGAUCAAACUUGCAACCCAGGUACGUGCCCUUGACCAGUAAUGGAACCUGCACCCUUUGGUGUGAUGGCUGACAUUCUAACCACUGAGCAACACUGGCCAGAUCUUAUUUUAUAGAUGUUUACUUCACUUCAUGCCAAUUAUUUAUCCAAGUCGUUUUACACAAAGAUUUUUUAAAUUAUUUUCUGGAAGAGAUGUUAUGUUGAAAUUGCAUUUUCUAUACAAUAUCAGGGUGGGGCGAAUCAUUUCUAAAAAUUUUUAACCUUAAGAUUACUUCUCUUUCUGUUUGUCUAAUCAUUAUUCAGAAGACCAAUAGAAAAGAGUACUGUUCUUCAGCAAACUGCGAAUUAGACUAUGACAGGAUAUUUUCAAUAGCUGAAUCGCUUUUGGUAUUUUAGUAUAAAUGUUUGCAUUUGUUUGUCUCCGUAUAGUCUUAUUGGAAAAUUCUUGUUCUGGUCUUCCUGAAAAAUAUAUAUAUAUUUCCUAUAUAAAAGAUAAUUUUUUAAAUAAUUGUAACAUGAAAUUGAAAAAUAAUUGUAAUGAACAUUAUGAAUGCUGUUAACACUUUAUGAGAGUCUAUGACUUCAUCGUACUGUUACAAGAUGUAAUUGAGUGCAGAAAAGACCAAAGCCUCAAUAAAAUGUGAGGCCAGCUUGUUAUCAUGUAUUGAUAUUUGAAAUAAAGACAUUUUUCUAGUUUUA
Molecule: RNA transcript, 5024 nt
Organism: Pipistrellus kuhlii (Kuhl's pipistrelle)
Lineage: Eukaryota; Metazoa; Chordata; Mammalia; Chiroptera; Vespertilionidae
Gene: LRRFIP1
Gene name: LRR binding FLII interacting protein 1
Exons: 23
Source: RefSeq, a predicted model, not a curated record